AAGCAGCUGGACUUCUAUAAUAAAACUAUGCAGUUGCAAAAGUUGAUGGAAGCAAAUAUUUCUUCUAGUCAGGAAGAGCUGUGCUUUUUAAUAGAAGACAUCUCAGAUCUCAUAUAUUCACAAAAGGAGAAUCUUGCCAUUCAGCAUGUAUUUGAAUAGUCUUGGGAAGCUAUUCCAUUUGCCUUGGCAAGAAGUUGGAGUCAGAAAGCAGAGCUGGAGUCUAACCCAGCCUUCUAGAAACUGCCUAUGCGAGUCAGAGCUGGAGACAGGACCUAAUGUUGGGGCCCAAGGGAGAUCCAAGUGGUGCAUCUUCAUUAGCCCUACCAAAAUAAGGACAGCAAACUCAAGUACAGACAUCCGUAGUUCAAACACCCUUCUAUGGGAGUUAAGUAGAUGUUUGAGCAAAAGCAAGAAUGAGAGCUCACAAGAUGAAGUCUCAGAUAGAUCCCGAAGGCUUUCUGAAAACAUCUCCUGCUGGCCUCCUAUCAUCCUAAUUAUUUCCUCUGCAAAAUGGUGUGUAGUAUUUAGGGCAAGUGUACAUUUCUCCUUAAUAACAUAUCUUUGACAUCAUUCUUUGAGAACAGUCCCAGCUUUGUAUGCUCAGACUGUAUUCUAAAAUUUCUUCACAUUAGUUGACAUGAAUGGCACCAAAUGGAAAUUUCUUUUCUAAUUCCUAAAUUUCUCCCCAACUGCAGGCCUGUGGUGUAGGAGGGGGAGGGCUUGCAGGUCAGUUUUCACAGGCUGCAGUAGAGGAGCUACUGUGGGUGGGUGGCGUGAAAGCCAUAUUUUGGGGGAAGCAAAGCAAGUUUUUACACUUGUGUUUUUGUCUUAUGAAGGAAGUGACUGAAGACAUGAAGCUUUUGUUUUAGGUUGGGUCCCCCAGAAACAUGCUGAGGCAAAGAUUUAAGGAGGGCUGUUUCAUUUGGAAGGUGCUUUCUGUAAUCACCAACAAGUCAGUGAGGAAGUGAGAUGGGAAAGGGAGGGAAGGAAGCCAAGAGAGUACAGCAGAAUCAGAACACAGAUCACUCCUGACCCCUGGGCCACUGAGAGGAACUUCCCUCAGGAUUAUUAAACCCAAGGGUUCAGAAUGGUCAUUUAUUCUCCUCCAUUAUCAAUGAGUGCUACUCUGGGAGGGACUGAUUCCCUUAGCAUUUCCAGCUGGCCUUGCCCCAGUUAGAAACCAGAAAAGUCCUUGGGGCAGUUUUCUCAACACAGCUCAGAAUUAUCAGAGCCAAGCAGAAUGGGCAGGGCCCUGACUUACCCAUCUGUCACUGCCAUAUUCAAAGACCUGAGUAGAAAUACACUUAUAUAGUUAUUGCUCAGUGACCCAGAAAUGCAGAGAACCCUCUUUCCCCCUCCUUCCUCUUGGUGAGAAACUACUCUAUAGAGUGUACUGAUGUGGUUUUUGAAAUAAAAGCCUUCCCCACCACUACUCCA
This is a long non-coding RNA of Oryctolagus cuniculus (rabbit), 1437 nucleotides long. The record is from Ensembl. Lineage: Eukaryota; Metazoa; Chordata; Mammalia; Lagomorpha; Leporidae.